GACGUACUGCGCGAACGUUAUUCGGAAUCACUGGGCUUAAAGGGUGCGCAGGCGGCUCUCAAAGCCCGAAGUGAAAUGCCCCGGCCUAACCGGGGACGUGCUUCGGGGACUUGAGGGCUCGGGCGAGCUAGGGGUCCGUGGAACUCCCGGUGGAGCGGUGAAAUGUGUUGAGAUCGGGAGGAACGCCGGUGGCGAAAGCGACGGACUGGGGCUUUGCCGACGCUCAGGCACGAAAGCCAGGGGAGCGAACGGG
RNAcentral lists this ribosomal RNA (253 nucleotides) under uncultured bacterium. RNAcentral describes it as "partial 16S ribosomal RNA". It matches the Rfam family "Bacterial small subunit ribosomal RNA", at positions 524 to 776 of the family's 1533-position model. The record is from RNAcentral.